GACGUAGGGUGCGAGCGUUAAUCGGAAUUACUGGGCGUAAAGCGUGCGCAGGCGGUGAUGUAAGACCGAUGUGAAAUCCCCGGGCUUAACCUGGGAACUGCAUUGGUGACUGCAUUGCUGGAGUAUGGCAGAGGGGGGUGGAAUUCCACGUGUAGCAGUGAAAUGCGUAGAGAUGUGGAGGAACACCGAUGGCGAAGGCAGCCCCCUGGGCCAAUACUGACGCUCAUGCACGAAAGCGUGGGGAGCAAACAGG
This 253-nucleotide ribosomal RNA is filed under the name uncultured bacterium. Its description in RNAcentral is "partial 16S ribosomal RNA". It matches the Rfam family "Bacterial small subunit ribosomal RNA", at positions 524 to 776 of the family's 1533-position model. The record is from RNAcentral.